Molecule: long non-coding RNA, 458 nt
Filed under: Rattus norvegicus (Norway rat)
Lineage: Eukaryota; Metazoa; Chordata; Mammalia; Rodentia; Muridae
Description: long non-coding RNA NONRATT027508
Source: RNAcentral
CCGUGAUGGACCAGGGCACCAGCUUGUCCUAUGAUGCCAUCAUCAGUGGGGACCUGCACGCCCCUGACGGGCUGGCGGUAGACUGGAUCCAUGGCAACAUCUACUGGACGGAUUCAGUUCCGGGCACUGUUUCCGUGGCUGACACCAAGGGUGUCAGGAGGAGAACUCUGUUCCGAGAGAAAGGGUCCAGACCCAGAGCCAUCGUAGUGGACCCUGUGCAUGGGUGAGUGUCCUCAGCUGAACAAGAGGAUGGCCCAAGGUGGGGUCCAGCCAGAGCUGGCCUCAGGGGAAUGUGAAAUGGUCCCCCAAGCUGCAGAGAUGACAGUGAAGUAGAGGCCGGGGGUGUCAGUGAAAGACCAAGGAAGCAGGGGCCUCCAACCUGAAAUCCCAGCCCUGAGGAGGCUGAGUUACAGGCUAGCUCAGGUUACAAAGAGAACUCCUAUCUCAAAAAAAUAAAU